UACCCGCUGAACUUAAGCAUAUCAAUAAGCGGAGGAAAAGAAACCAACCGGGAUUACCUCAGUAACGGCGAGUGAAGCGGUAACAGCUCAAAUUUGAAAUCUGGCUCCUGCGGAGUCCGAGUUGUAAUUUGUAGAAGAUGCUUUGGGAGGUAGGCUCGGCCUAAGUUCCUUGGAACAGGACAUCAGAGAGGGUGAGAAUCCCGUAUGUGGCCGUGGCCUACGCCCGUGUAAAGCUCUUUCGACGAGUCGAGUUGUUUGGGAAUGCAGCUCAAAAUGGGUGGUAAAUUUCAUCUAAAGCUAAAUAUUGGCCAGAGACCGAUAGCGCACAAGUAGAGUGAUCGAAAGAUGAAAAGCACUUUGGAAAGAGAGUUAAACAGUACGUGAAAUUGUUGAAAGGGAAGCGCUUGCACCCAGACUUGGGCGUCGUCGAUCAUCCGAGGUUCUCUUCGGUGCACUCGGCGAGGCACAGGCCAGCAUCGGUUUGGAUGGUUGGAGAAAGGCUCUAGGAACGUACCUCUCUUCGGGGAGUGUUAUAGCCUAGGGCGUAAUGCAGCCCAUCCGGACCGAGGACCGCGCCUUCGGGCUAGGAUGCUGGCGUAAUGGUUGCAAGCGACCCGUCUUGAAACACGGACCAAGGA
This 638-nucleotide ribosomal RNA is filed under the name Golovinomyces circumfusus. Its description in RNAcentral is "partial large subunit ribosomal RNA". It matches the Rfam family "Eukaryotic large subunit ribosomal RNA", at positions 22 to 672 of the family's 3401-position model. The record is from RNAcentral. Lineage: Eukaryota; Fungi; Ascomycota; Leotiomycetes; Helotiales; Erysiphaceae.